UACGGAGCACCGCUGGCGACGCGCUUGUGCUGGUGCUUCGUCGCAGCUUAUCGGCACCUCUUCCUGCCGCCGUGUGCCUGCGUUGCUGAAUCCUCUCUGCCCUCGGGCGCAGGCGCACACGUCAUGAACGCCGUGCUUUCUCUGCUGGACGACACAGUCUACAUCCUCCUAGGCAUGACAACGGUGCUGCUCUGCGCGGUAGCCUUUGGCCUCAGCCGUAAUGUCUAUCGCGAAACGUUGCGUGCACAGGCUCGAUCGCAACUUCGCCGCGAGGAUUUGUUGACGCACGAACAGCAGAACUUCCUGCGGUCCAUGCAGGCCGAAGAAAAGGUGGAGGCGGUACUGCGCAAGGCGGGGUGGACAGAUGUUUUUCUGCGGCGACGUGUGGCUGUCGCGCGUGUCGGGCACAACCGCGAAAUCGACGUCGUCGCGGUCGGCCCUAUCAUCCUCGUCGUCGAGGUGAAGAACUGGCAAGGCUUUGUGUGGAGCAACGGUCCGCGUUGGUACCAGUGCCGCAAUCGCAAACGGAUGGACACGCUGGAGUUUGAGGAUGUGCAGGAAGAUAACGUGGAGAAGGCUGCCGCACUGCGCCGCUACAUUGAAAACGCGCGUCGUGUAGAGCUGCCAGACUCGCAUCUCGUGCAGUCGGAUGCGGUUCUGUUCGGUCGAGACACGGGCGCCAACGGCAAGCGCGCCACAUGGUACUCCGACAAGUCCAUCCACAAGGUGUGCGGCAAGUGUGUCGUUCCCGUCGUCGUGUUCACGCAUCCGCGUGUCAAGCUGGACCCCUCGACAGUCAAGGCUAAGAAGUACGUUUUCACCCUCGACACGUUCGGCGUCUUUGCCUCGCAUGCUAUCCGCGGUAACAUAGAUCUGGAGGCACUGAACGACGUCGCAGCGGCGUCGUGGUGGUCAUCCUGGCUGCCGUUCAUGCGGGUCUCUCGCCCUUCAACACCCACGUCCGCCUCUGCCGCUGUCUUCCUCACCGAAGAGCAGCGAAGCAACGUAGCUGGCGUCGUGGACGUGCUGCGUACGUGGGAUUUAGUGUACCUGCUCGACCACCGCCUCAUCACAGGUGACCUUGAGAAGAUUGAUGUUCCUAGUGCGUUUUGCAUGUACAACCGCAAGCACCUCCUCGGCGUUAACGUGCGGUGGAACCGCGGCGCAGUCGGUCUCGUAAAGACGCUGCUCACCAACAGCGUUGGCAGCGUUGAACUCGUCCUGACAACGGCGAAGCGGCUGGCGAAGAAGCGCAAGGAGAAGAAGCCGCGCAACGCCGAGGGCAACAUCGUCUUCCCUAUGAAGCCGAAAAAGAACAAGGAGAACGGAUACCUGGUGAUGAAGAUGGCGGGCACAGGAAAGCUGGAGACGGUGCUCCUGUGCGAUGUCGAUCACAUUUCGCUGAGCCGUCACUUGUACGAGAGUGAGAAGCAGCUAGAGUAAAAAACCGCCGCCCCGGACUGCGUGGGCGGGUGUUUCGUGGCGACCUUGUCAGAGUGGAUGAUGCUGUCGUGGCUCUUGUCGUUUUUCUUUUCCUCUUUCGUUUUUUUUUUGUCAGUGUUCGUGUUUGUGUGUGUCCUCGGCACCCCUUUCGGUUAAGCUGCCACUUUAUUAAUGUAGGCUGCAUUAUACCAAUGCCGGAUGCGAUGCGGAAGGGCGUUGGAGCUGGAGAGUAGCGUCAACGUUUUGCCGUGAGUCCGUCGUCUGCCGAUGUCCUCACCUCCACCACUACCCCUUCGCUGUGCCUUCUCUUGCUCUGUUUGAGCGCGUUCCUAUGCGCGGGUGCGCUCGGUGAGCCAUGGACGCCAAGCGCGU
Molecule: unclassified non-coding RNA, 1815 nt
Filed under: Leishmania donovani
Lineage: Eukaryota; Euglenozoa; Kinetoplastea; Trypanosomatida; Trypanosomatidae
Description: gene:LdHU3.36.7760(CDS-product:Nuclease-related_d omain_containing_protein_putative)
Source: RNAcentral